Molecule: ribosomal RNA, 200 nt
Filed under: uncultured bacterium
Lineage: Bacteria
Description: partial 16S ribosomal RNA
Rfam family: Bacterial small subunit ribosomal RNA
Source: RNAcentral
AUUGAACGCUGGCGGCAGGCCUAACACAUGCAAGUCGAGCGGUUGAGGUAGCUUGCUACCGAUGCAGCGGCGAACGGGUGAGUAAUACAUGGGAAUCUGCCUGGUAGCGGGGGACAACGUUUCGAAAGGAACGCUAAUACCGCAUACGCCCUACGGGGGAAAGGGGGGGAUCGCAAGACCUCUCGCUAUCAGAUGAGCCC